This 199-nucleotide ribosomal RNA is filed under the name uncultured bacterium. RNAcentral describes it as "partial 16S ribosomal RNA". It matches the Rfam family "Bacterial small subunit ribosomal RNA", at positions 1294 to 1500 of the family's 1533-position model. The record is from RNAcentral.
CGGAUCGGAGUCUGCAACCCGACUCCGUGAAGCUGGAUUCGCUAGUAAUCGCGCAUCAGCCAUGGCGCGGUGAAUACGUUCCCGGGCCUUGUACACACCGCCCGUCAAGCCAUGGGAGCCGGGAGUGCCUGAAGGCCGUGACCGCAAGGAGCGGCCUAAGGUAAAACUGGUGACUGGGGCUAAGUCGUAACAAGGUAAC